AUUAGAAGGAAGGGCAAAAAAAACUAAA
Molecule: small RNA, 28 nt
Filed under: Arabidopsis thaliana (thale cress)
Lineage: Eukaryota; Viridiplantae; Streptophyta; Magnoliopsida; Brassicales; Brassicaceae
Description: ATSL081610
Source: RNAcentral